Molecule: ribosomal RNA, 496 nt
Filed under: uncultured bacterium
Lineage: Bacteria
Description: partial 16S ribosomal RNA
Rfam family: Bacterial small subunit ribosomal RNA
Source: RNAcentral
GAUGAACGCUGGCGGCGUGCCUAAUACAUGCCAGUCGAGCGAACAGAUGAGGAGCUUGCUCCUCUGACGUUAGCGGCGGACGGGUGAGUAACACGUGGAUAACCUACCUAUAAGACUGGGAUAACUUCGGGAAACCGGAGCUAAUACCGGAUAAUAUAUUGAACCGCAUGGUUCAAUAGUGAAAGACGGUUUUGCUGUCACUUAUAGAUGGAACCGCGCCGCAUUAGCUAGUUGGUAAGGUAACGGCUUACCAAGGCAACGAUGCGUAGCCGACCUGAGAGGGUGAUCGGCCACACUGGAACUGAGACACGGUCCAGACUCCUACGGGAGGCAGCAGUAGGGAAUCUUCCGCAAUGGGCGAAAGCCUGACGGAGCAACGCCGCGUGAGUGAUGAAGGUCUUCGGAUCGUAAAACUCUGUUAUUAGGGAAGAACAAAUGUGUAAGUAACUAUGCACGUCUUGACGGUACCUAAUCAGAAAGCCACGGCUAACUACGU